GGAAAAGUCGAUUCCAAAGGACGCGGCGUAUCAAGUAAUACAUGAUGAGCUUAUGCUGGAUGGAAAUCCGAGGUUGAACUUGGCUUCAUUUGUUACAACAUGGAUGGAACCUGAGUGUGAUAAGCUUAUGAUGGCUGCAAUUAAUAAGAACUAUGUUGACAUGGAUGAAUACCCUGUCACCACUGAACUCCAGGUAUCAAUCCUUCUUCACUUGUGCAUUUCAUCUACUAGGAAAAGGAAACUGAAUAAUGGCAGAAUUUAGCAUUCAUUAAAUGAAAACUGAUAAUGCAGAAUCGAUGUGUAAACAUGAUUGCAAACCUGUUCCAUGCUCCGGUUGGGGAAGAAGAGACAGCAGUAGGUGUGGGAACAGUUGGUUCCUCUGAGGCUAUAAUGCUGGCUGGAUUAGCUUUUAA
RNAcentral lists this long non-coding RNA (413 nucleotides) under Gossypium barbadense (sea-island cotton). RNAcentral's name for it is "long non-coding RNA (GBAR_LNC019494)". Lineage: Eukaryota; Viridiplantae; Streptophyta; Magnoliopsida; Malvales; Malvaceae. The record is from RNAcentral.